CAGUCGCCGCGGUAAUACGAAGGGGGCUAGCGUUGUUCGGAAUCACUGGGCGUAAAGCGCACGUAGGCGGACACUUAAGUCAGAGGUGAAAUCCCAAGGCUCAACCUUGGAACUGCCUUUGAUACUGGGUGUCUUGAGGUCGAGAGAGGUGAGUGGAACUGCGAGUGUAGAGGUGAAAUUCGUAGAUAUUCGCAAGAACACCAGUGGCGAAGGCGGCUCACUGGCUCGAUUCUGACGCUGAGGUGCGAAAGCGUGGGGAGCAAACAGGAUUAGAUACCCCUGUAGUCCCUGUCUCUUAUAC
This 301-nucleotide ribosomal RNA is filed under the name uncultured bacterium. RNAcentral's name for it is "partial 16S ribosomal RNA". It matches the Rfam family "Bacterial small subunit ribosomal RNA", at positions 509 to 807 of the family's 1533-position model. The record is from RNAcentral.